AUUGAACGCUGGCGGCAUGCUUUACACAUGCAAGUCGAACGGUAACAGGCCGCAAGGUGCUGACGAGUGGCGAACGGGUGAGUAAUGCAUCGGAACGUGCCCAGUCGUGGGGGAUAGCGCAGCGAAAGCUGUGCUAAUACCGCAUACGAUCUAUGGAUGAAAGCGGGGGACCGUAAGGCCUCGCGCGAUUGGAGCGGCCGAUGUCAGAUUAGGUAGUUGGUGGGGUAAAGGCUCACCAAGCCAACGAUCUGGAGCUGGUCUGAGAGGACGACCAGCCACACUGGGACUGAGACACGGCCCAGACUCCUACGGGAGGCAGCAGUGGGGAAUUUUGGACAAUGGGCGCAAGCCUGAUCCAGCAAUGCCGCGUGCAGGAAGAAGGCCUUCGAGUUGUAAGCCGCUUUUGUCAGGGAAGAAAUCUUCUGGGUUAAUACCUCGGGAGGAUGACGGUACCUGAAGAAUAAGCGCCGGCUAACUACGUGCCAGCAGCCGCAGUAA
Molecule: ribosomal RNA, 498 nt
Filed under: uncultured bacterium
Lineage: Bacteria
Description: partial 16S ribosomal RNA
Rfam family: Bacterial small subunit ribosomal RNA
Source: RNAcentral